RNA transcript from Mus musculus (house mouse), 2616 nucleotides. It is a transcript of the gene named solute carrier family 35 (UDP-galactose transporter), member A2, with no coding region annotated. NCBI's taxonomy places the organism in Eukaryota, Metazoa, Chordata, Mammalia, Rodentia, Muridae. The record is from RefSeq and is marked validated. The transcript is spliced from 4 exons.
AGAUGCCAACAUGGCAGCGGUUGGGGUUGGUGGAUCUACCGCUGCGGCCGGGGCUGGGGCUGUGUCCUCGGGCGCGUUGGAACCUGGGUCCACUACAGCGGCUCACCGGCGCCUCAAGUAUAUAUCCUUAGCUGUGCUGGUGGUCCAGAAUGCCUCCCUCAUCCUCAGCAUCCGCUACGCUCGCACACUGCCUGGGGACCGCUUCUUUGCCACCACUGCUGUGGUCAUGGCUGAAGUGCUCAAAGGUCUCACCUGUCUCCUGCUGCUCUUCGCACAAAAGAGGGGUAUGAGUCACCAAUGGGGUUGGUUGGUGGGACUCCCUAAGUUAAGGGUGUAAGUACCCCUGGGAGGUUUGCUGGGAGAGUAGACUGGUGUGUCUGAGGAUGCUUGAGGAGUAGGUAGGAGCUUUUAAGCUUCCUGACCACUGCAGCUAUGUGAAGUUGCAUCUCCACGUGGAUAUUCCUUAUACCUGAGAACUACACCAGUGAGAUUGACUGCCCACAGGCAACAGAAGACCCACGGUGAUUGAAAGGUAGAGGCAUGAAGAUCAGGAGCUCAAGAUAACAUAAGUUCAAGGUAAUGUGAAGCACCUGGUCCUCUUCCUCCAUGAGGCUGUCCUGGUCCAAUAUGUGGACACACUCAAGCUUGCGGUGCCCUCUCUCAUCUAUACCUUGCAGAAUAACCUCCAGUAUGUUGCCAUCAGCAACCUGCCAGCUGCCACUUUCCAGGUGACAUAUCAGCUGAAGAUCCUGACUACAGCGCUCUUCUCUGUGCUCAUGUUGAAUCGCAGCCUCUCACGCCUGCAGUGGGCCUCUCUGCUGCUGCUCUUCACUGGUGUCGCCAUUGUCCAGGCACAGCAAGCUGGUGGGAGUGGCCCACGGCCACUGGAUCAGAACCCGGGGGCGGGCUUAGCGGCAGUUGUGGCCUCCUGUCUCUCCUCAGGCUUCGCUGGGGUCUACUUUGAGAAGAUCCUCAAAGGCAGCUCAGGUUCUGUGUGGCUUCGUAACCUACAGCUCGGCCUCUUUGGCACAGCGCUGGGCCUGGUGGGGCUCUGGUGGGCUGAGGGCACCGCCGUGGCCAGUCAAGGCUUCUUCUUUGGGUACACACCUGCUGUCUGGGGUGUAGUACUAAACCAAGCCUUUGGUGGGCUUCUGGUGGCUGUUGUUGUCAAGUAUGCUGACAACAUCCUCAAGGGCUUUGCCACCUCCCUGUCUAUUGUGCUGUCCACUGUUGCCUCCAUUCGCCUCUUUGGCUUCCACCUGGACCCAUUAUUUGCCCUGGGCGCUGGGCUCGUCAUUGGUGCUGUCUACCUCUACAGCCUUCCCCGAGGUGCAGUCAAAGCCAUAGCCUCGGCCUCGGCCUCUGGGCCCUGCAUUCACCAGCAGCCUCCUGGGCAGCCACCACCACCGCAGCUGUCUUCUCGAGGAGACCUCACCACGGAGCCCUUUCUGCCAAAGUCAGUGCUGGUCAAGUGAGAGCUGGUGGUGGUUGGGGGAACAGGGCAGGGGGUUGGGUUGGAGGGGGUUGGGCUUCUGCAGGUCCAAAAAGUUGUUGCCAGGGCCUGGCUUUUGUGGGUUGGAGGUUUAUUUUCUCCCAUAAUUCUAGAGGGAUAUGGAACUAGGGCUGAAUGUCACAUGAACGCUUCCUGAUAGAUGGACUCUCCUCUCCUGGAGGAGCUUUUUAGAGCUGCUUCCUCUGCCUUGGGCUAACCUCUUUGGGAACAGGGUUGGGGUACUGCUAUUCCAGGCCUUUCCCCCAUGACCCUGUGCUGGAGAUGUCCUGUCUCGCAUGCCUGGGACAGUCCCUCCCAGCCAUCCUGCAGACUGGAUAAAAGCCCUGCAGCUCUCCAAUAACGACUAAUGACUCCUCGUGGGGUUCAUUUCCUAUUGUAUGAGGUCUUCUCUCCUGCACCAUCACCCUGGAUCAUGACAACAGCGUGGUCUCUGCUGUGGCUUUGGGGCAGUUUCCCCGGUACAGAGACCCUUGAAGAGCAAUCAGCCUGUUGUAAGUGCCCGGAACGAGGAGAGAGGCACAAGCUGAGGAUUUCGCAUCAGCUCAUCUUGGGGAGGGUGCAAUAAGUGCCAUUUGCUUUCCAAUAGUUUGGGAUGGAGAUUUGUUUGUGCUAUCAUUAGAUCAAUGAUCCAGCGUGUUGGGAAAAUGGGGAGGGGAGGUCCUUGAAGUGGCUGAAUCUCAUGUAAUUGACGAGACAGAGGCGAAGGAUUCUCUUCAGAAACAUCCAGACAAAAACUAAAGCUGCCGAUCCGCCUGCAGCUCCAUUGGCGUUUAAAACAUCCUUUCAGGAUGGGUGUCAGAAUUGAUGAAACAUGGAACCUGCGCCCCUGCACUCCCCAAAGCUUAUUAACUCCUUAACUGUAUCCCAGAUGUGUGUGUGUGUGUGUGUUCGCGCGCGCGUGGGGAUGUGUGUGGAUGUGUGCACGCACACUUAAGUGCAUGCAUGGAAGGUGCCUGGGCUGUCUUUGCUAUAUGUAAAUAGGGCCACUGGAUCUUUAUUUUUGAUUAAUUUGUUCUGAUUUUUUUUUUGGUUUGUUUUUUAAGGAACUGUAAUGAACAAAUGUCAGGAUACCCAAUGCCAAAUAAAGAUGAUGUAUUUAUUUA